This 1134-nucleotide long non-coding RNA is filed under the name Lonchura striata (white-rumped munia). RNAcentral describes it as "domestica (Bengalese finch) lncRNA (ENSLSDG00000011302.1)". Lineage: Eukaryota; Metazoa; Chordata; Aves; Passeriformes; Estrildidae. The record is from RNAcentral.
AUGUCCAUCACCGUGUCCAUCCCUGUGUCCAUCCCGUGUCCAUCCCUGUGUCCAUCCCGUGUCCAGCCCUGCCCAGGCUCCCGCAGCUCCUCGCUCUCUCCGCGCUCCUCCCGCCUCUUUCGUUUCCCCUUCCCGGAUUUUUGGGUUGAUUUUCCUUUUUUUGGCGUUUCUUGGUGCUACUCCCCCCCGCGCCCCCAGCAGAUACCUCAGCCCCAGCCCGGGUGCAGCUCCUCCGGGAUCAGGGAUCCUUUCCCAAAUUCCUGGGAUCCUUUCCCAAAUUUCUGGGAUCCUUCCCCAAUUCCUGGGAUCCUUCCCCAGUUCCUGGGAUCCUUUCCCAAAUAUCUGGGAUCCUUUCCCAAAUUUCUGGGAUCCUUCCCCAAUUCCUGGGAUCCUUCCCUAAUUCCUGGGAUCCUUCCCCCAAUUCCUGGGAUCCUUUCCCAAUUCCUGGGAUCCUUUCCCAAAUAUCUGGGAUCCUUCCCCAGUUCCUGGGAUCCUUUCCCAAAUUUCUGGGAUCCUUUCCCAAAUAUCUGGGAUCCUUCCCCAGUUCCUGGGAUCCUUUCCCAAAUAUCUGGGAUCCUUUCCCAAAUUUCUGGGAUCCUUCCCCAGUUCCUGGGAUCCUUCCCCCAAUUCCUGGGAUCCUUUCCCAAAUUUCCAGGAUCCUUUCCCACAUUCUCGAGAUCCUUUUCCCUCCAUUUCCGAGAUCCUUUCCCGCAUUUCCAGGAUCCUUUCCCGCAUUUCCAGGAUCCUUUCCCGAAUUUCCAGGAUCCUUUCCCGCAUUUCCAGGAUCCUUUCCCGAAUUUCCAGGAUCCUUUUUCCUGAAUUUCUGGGAUCCUUUGGGGCUUUCCUCCUGCCUUGCCCUCCUUUUCCCGUUUCCAGCCGGGUUUUCCCAUUUCUGCGCCUCCUUCAGGGAAUUCCGACCCCGCCGCGAUUUCCCCGCUUGGGUCACGAGGAGGGGCCGUGGGAUCCUUCAUUUGGGAAUCAAAUUGGAUUGAUUUUAUUUUAUUUAUUUUAUUUUAUUUUAUUUUAUUUUAUUUUAUUUUAUUUUAUUUUAUUUUAUUUUAUUUUAUUUUUAUUUUAUUUAUUUUAUUUUAUUUUAUUUUAUUUUAUUUUAUUUAUUUUAUUUUAUUUUAUUUU